GAUCUUCCAAAGUUGGGUUUUGGGGUCAUUGGAAACUCAAAAGUUGGGUUUUGGGUCAUUAAAGUCAUGGAGAACCUUCCAAAGUUGGGUUUUGGUCAUGAAAGUCAUGGAGGAUCUUCCAAAGUUGGGUUUUGAGAUCAAUAAAAACUCAAAAGUUGAGUUUUGGUCAAUAAAAUCAUGGAGAAAGCCCAAAAGUUGGGUUUUGAGGUCAUUAAA
Sturnus vulgaris (Common starling) is the source of this 216-nucleotide non-coding RNA. NCBI's taxonomy places the organism in Eukaryota, Metazoa, Chordata, Aves, Passeriformes, Sturnidae. The record is from RefSeq and is a predicted model, not a curated record.